RNAcentral lists this ribosomal RNA (515 nucleotides) under uncultured bacterium. RNAcentral's name for it is "bacterial SSU rRNA". It matches the Rfam family "Bacterial small subunit ribosomal RNA", at positions 9 to 518 of the family's 1533-position model. The record is from RNAcentral.
CGAGUUCUGGCUCAGGAUGAACGCUAGCUACAGGCUUAACACAUGCAAGUCGAGGGGCAGCAUGACGAUAGCUUGCUAUUGUCGAUGGCGACCGGCGCACGGGUGAGUAACGCGUAUCCAACCUUCCCCAUAGUAGGGCAUAGCCCGUAGAAAUGCGGAUUAAUACCCUAUGUUUUCCGAAGCAGACAUCUAAUUUGGAACAAAGGUUCACCGCUAUGGGAUGGGGAUGCGUCUGAUUAGGUUGUUGGCGGGUAACGGCCCACCAAGCCUUCGAUCAGUAGGGGUUCUGAGAGGAAGGUCCCCCACAUUGGAACUGAGACACGGUCCAAGCUCCUACGGGAGGCAGCAGUGAGGAAUAUUGGUCAAUGGGCGAGAGCCUGAACCAGCCAAGUAGCGUGCAGGAAGACGGCCCUAUGGGUUGUAAACUGCUUUUAUGCGGGGAUAAAGUGGGCUACGUGUAGUCCUUUGCAGGUACCGCAUGAAUAAGGACCGGCUAAUUCCGUGCCAGCAGCUGC